Molecule: microRNA precursor, 163 nt
Filed under: Oryza brachyantha (malo sina)
Lineage: Eukaryota; Viridiplantae; Streptophyta; Magnoliopsida; Poales; Poaceae
Description: MIR812 microRNA precursor family
Rfam family: MIR812 microRNA precursor family
Source: Rfam by way of RNAcentral
UACAAUGUUUUGACUCUUCGUCUUAUUUGAAAUUUUUUUGCGAUUAAUAUUUUUAUGCUUACUAGAUGAUAAAAGAUGAAUAUUAUUUUAUGCGUGACUAUUUUUUAAAUUUUUUGUACAAAUUUUUCAAAUAAGACGAAUGGUCAAACGUUGGACACGAAAA